GAUUACCCCGGAUGAAAAGACUCAGAGCUGUGGACUCGUAGCAGGAAGAGCCCUUAGAAACAGGGAACUGCUCUUUUUACAGUUAGGGAUACUGAAGACCAGAGAGGUGCUUGCUUGCCCAAAGUCGCGCAGCUUAGCUUGAAAGUAAAUUAUGGAAGAAUUCUGGUGGGCUUUGGGGUCAGACAGCGUUGAGUUCAAGUCCUGGAUCUAUCACUAUAUUCCUUGGUGUCAGCUUCAUUCCAAGAAUGAAUUCCAAGAGCAUUUGUGGCUCUUUCUGGGUCUCUGAAUCCCCAUCUCCAAAAUAAGGGGAUUGGAUUAGAUUGGAUUAGUCUGCUGCUCAUCUCCACGCCAAACUCCCUCCACCCUCACAAGCCUCAGCAGGUUAUCAAUUAUGAAUGGCCAGGCAAUCAGAGAUCAAAAGAGGCCUGUUUCCCCAAAUGAAUUAGUGGAUUUUAGAAUGGGAUGAAAUGAAAUGGAGCUAAUAGGCAGUUUUUGAAGAGAAGGCUGAGGGAUUUGGAGCUGGAGGUAGGAAGCUCAAAACUGUGGAGACUUCUUGCGUGGUUUCAGAGUUUUGGACAGCUUGUGCGCAAACCCGGAGGGCCACAGCAUGUGCUGGAAUGACCGGGAAGCUUACGCGUUGGGAAGGGUAGCUGGCCGAUGGCUGUGUGAAUGUGCCUUGCAGUCUAAAAGGCUGCUGGGAACCUAACAUCCAUGCUGGGACUGCAUUCUUUCUCUGCCUCAGCUCCUGUUAGCAAUCUCCAUGCUAUCCAAGUGGCCCGGACUUGUGAUUUCCAGAAGAGUGUAAUGCUGGAAGAUUCUCCUGACACAUCCCAGAAGGAAGCAUUAUUCUCACAGUGUUAUCUUUGCUGCUCUCUGGGUUUGCUCAUCCAGGGAGAUUGUGGCAGCCAUUGUGAUUAUUCUGUUUGUCUGUCUGUCUCUCUCUCAUGCACACACCCCCGCCCCCUCACAUUAGCUUCAUUUCCUAGUGUAACUAGAAGCCCGCACAGGCUCAGCUACAGAGACAGAAAAUCCUGUGGAAGCACGUUGGGCUCAUUAAUAAGGGAAAGUGACUGGUGACUAUAACUUCUAUAGCUUUUAUGAAUUACUAGAAGUGAAUUUUUGGGAAAUUACUAAAUAAUACAUGUUCAACAUAGAAAAAUUAGAAAAGAUAGAUAAGCAAAAAAAAAAAAAAGGGAAUUCACUCCGUGUAUAAGGAAUUUUGUUUUUAUUAAAUACUAGUUUUUUAAAUUGAAAAAAUAAUC
Molecule: long non-coding RNA, 1262 nt
Filed under: Equus asinus (donkey)
Lineage: Eukaryota; Metazoa; Chordata; Mammalia; Perissodactyla; Equidae
Description: lncRNA (ENSEASG00005030709.1)
Source: RNAcentral